This is an RNA transcript of Andrographis paniculata, 1969 nucleotides long. RefSeq lists it as uncharacterized. Lineage: Eukaryota; Viridiplantae; Streptophyta; Magnoliopsida; Lamiales; Acanthaceae. The record is from RefSeq and is a predicted model, not a curated record. The transcript is spliced from 4 exons.
UCGCUAUCAUGCGCCGCUGGGUAACAAGCCCAUUCUUCCCUCUCCAUUUUCACUUUCGUAUUAUUAUAUCCUCUCCACGAUCGAUCUCCGAGAUUGCUCACAGCUUCGUCUGACGAACAAGGAACGUUGCGAAUAACAGCUGGCGUUUGUUCUUGAUUUCGUAUGCUUUACGAGUUUAAUUGCUUGCUGUGCAGCUUGUAUUCGUCCGCCGGAAUAUCCUGUCAACGAUCGGAGAUGCAUUUUUCUGUCCGAUGAAUUUUCACUAGCAGAUCUGUAUGUCUCUCGCACCGUGAAGUAUAUUGUGUACAGAUGAGAUAAAGAUUAAGUAUCCCGGUGAUGCUCAGAUGAGAAGAACUGAUGUUAUUUGCAGCAGAAGGAGGAGGGUUUUUCUCUUCAUCAGCUUCAGGGUAUAGCAAGGGCUUGACUCUUCUUCUAUUGGGCCAGAAAAAAGAAGAUAGACCGAUGAGAGUAUCACCGUGGAAUCAGUACCAAUUGGUGGACCAAGAGACUGAACCUUAUCUCCAGCUGGCUUCUGGGAAGAAAAGACCUACCUGCGGCUGUGCCUCCUUUGUAUGCUUUGGUCGUACUUCCGCCAAACUUGAAUGCCCUUCUCCCAUAAAAGUAGAUUCGACUCUGAACCAAGAAGUUUUGCCAGGAAAUCCAGCAUUGGAUGAGGAUCAAGCAGCAAAAAGUUAUGGUGGAUGUGUUGUGGUUGGUGAUGAUAAGAUAGUUAGUCUUAGAAGUAGCUUGAAAAAGACACCAGAUUGUACACCACUUGCUUCCAUUGGAAGCCGUGCUGAUGGUCGAAAGAACCAUGAGAAUGAAACAGUAUGUGAAAAUAGUAAUGACAUUGCUUGUCAAAAGGAGAGGAGGAAAGUGCAGUGGACGGAUACAGUUGGGGGAGAGCUUUUUGAGAUUCGGGAAUUUGAAAUGAGUGAAGAUGAAUUGGACGAUGAUUUUGCCCGUGGGGUCGGAAAGACUUGUUCGUGCAGGGUAAUGUAGCCUUGGAUCUUCUCUCUUUUCAUGGUUCAAUUUUCAUGAGGCUGGUAUGUAGUGUUGGCUCCCACCCACCAGCAGUCCCAAUGGUAGUUUGAGACAAUGGGACAUUCCCUAUGUCAUUGGCUGAUCGGAUGUCCUCGGUGGUGGUGGGAAAUCUGUGCUGCUGCUGCCGCUCUCUUGAGUUACUUGAUGACGUCCUAGUGCCUGGAAAUCAACUAAAUGCCCAUUGCUGGGGAAAUCGAAUAUCAGAGGAUAUGGAGAAGAAGAAGAAGAUGAUGAUGAAUAAAAUGGUGAAGCAGAGGAAGUGUUCAAUUGCUGUGAAUCAAAAAGCAUUUGCUCGAACAAAUAAUCUCUGGCAGCAGUGGUUUCGGUUUCAUAGAACUGCUGGGAAGGAAGCGCAGCUGUUGUUAUCAUUUGAUGAGGCUGAGGUGGCUGCAGUGGCGGAUUUAUCCUCACAUGUUCAGGAAAAUUGAGCUUGGCCCUGUGGCCUCUAAAUCUCAAGGCGGCUUCAUCAUAUGCUCUGGCAGCAUCCUCUGCUGUGUUGAAGGUGCCGAGCCAUACCCGAGCUGCUUUCUGGGGGUCUCUUAUUUCUGCCGCCCAUUUGCCCCACGGCCUCCGGCGAACACCUCUGUAUUUCCUCUCCCUGUUUUCGGGUAUUUGUUCCAUCAACCCAAUAUUGGCAAAGCUUCCGGAGGCAUUGGCAGCAUUUAUGACUUGGCCGUUAUGUUCCUGAUAAGAAACUUGCCCCACUUCCACUCCUGACAUAUCCAUUGCUGGUGGCGGCCGUGGUGGCACAGCCGCGGCAGAUAGUAGGUAACCGGAAUGCUGUUGGUGUUGCUGCAUAUGGAACUGUGAAAGAAAGAAACUGUUGAAUAUUAUUACCAAAUCCUUAUUCUUGAAAGUUCACCAUUGAAGAAGACAAUCAAAUCCAAGCUGCUGAGAGUUGAAGAAAACUAUGGUAAGCAGUAAA